Non-coding RNA from Danio rerio (zebrafish), 2944 nucleotides. NCBI's taxonomy places the organism in Eukaryota, Metazoa, Chordata, Actinopteri, Cypriniformes, Danionidae. The record is from RefSeq and is a predicted model, not a curated record.
CUGCAGAUCAGGGUCCAACACAUCUGAGGUUACAAGCCUUUAGCGAAGCCAACAUCAAUAAGAGAGAAAGUAAAUUAAUACCUUGAUUUGGCCUCAUAAGAAGAAUGGAAAACAGAAGAAGACACAAUUACCAGCGUCUUCGAAGUAAGUACUGAAUAAUUAAUAUUAUUAUCCAUCCAUCAGUUCAUUCAUUUCUGUGUCCGCCCUUGUUUACAGUGUUAGAUUUGAAUAUUAUGCUUUUGGGGGGUACUGGAGAAGGAAAGAGUGCAUCUGCAAACACCAUCUUAGGAGCUGAGCACAUAUUUCAAGAAGAUUUUUUACCUGAGGCUGUGACCAGAAUCUGUCAGUCAGAACAAACAGAAUUGGAUGGAAAAACAAUCACAGUGAUUGAUACCGUGGGACUCUCUGAUACAAACCAGAUGAAAAUCACAGAUGCUCAGACUGAAAUGGAGCAGAUGAUACGGCGUAUAAACCUUGAUGUGUUUCUGCUGGUGAUCAAACUCGGCCAUGUCUUUACAAAGGAGAGAAGUGCAGUUGUGCAGUGGAUCAAGGAUAAUUUUGGAGAAAAAUUCUUUCAACACACAAUAGUGCUCUUUACUUAUGGAGAUCAGUUGUCUGUGCCCAUAGAAGAUUAUCUUAGUAGGUCUCAGACACUGCAGUACUUGCUUGAAAAGUUUUCAGGUAGAUUUCAUGUUUUCAACAACAGAAACAAAGACAGAUCUCAAGUCACUGCACUUUUACAUCAGAUAAACAAACUGAUGAUGAUAAACGAAUACAGGAGAUACACUGAGAAGGACUAUGCCAUGGCUCAGAGAAAUCUCUUGCGCAAAAAUUGUCUUAAAGGAGCAGCAGCAGGAGGUGCAGCAGGAGGUGCAGCUGGUGCAGCAGGAGGAGCAAUCGCUGCUAAAGCAGGAGCAGUUGCAUUAACUCUAGGAAAAGGAGCACUAAUUGUAUCAGCAGGAGGAGCACUUCUGGUAGGAGUAGCAGCUUGUGCUGGUGUGUAUUGGCUUUCAAGAAAAUAUGUAACUAGGGAUGUGCCUGCUACGCAGGACCACACUGAAAGGGAAAGACUCUUCAUGGCAGCACAUGUUAAUGAGUGAGAUGUACUCACUGUAACAAUACAAUACAUUGCAGGCAUACUUUGAACAACCAAUGUAAAAUGGAUAAAGACAUCAUGCAAGAAAGCACUUCAAAUCCAAACAAAAGAGAAAAGACGUCAUAUAGACACCAGUUAUCGACAAACUGCAGACAUUGAGGUCAGUGUACUUGCAUCCAUUAAAAAGAAACAAGCUAGAGUUUUUGAUCAUGCUACAUACUGAAAUGAGAUCACUUACAGUAAGUCAAGUCUGGAAUUACCUUGCAACCACAUCAAUAAACUAGAGCAAUUCAAUAAGUCCCUUUUAAAUCUUGUCAGAACACUUGGCGAACACAUGGAUAAAGCUAUAAAAGAAAACAAAACAAUGUAACAGAUGAUCCUCGACAUUCUAUCCAGAUGCAUGCAUGACAAACUGAUCUUCAACCAUUCGACAACUAUCCGACAACCCUGAAGUGAUGAUUAAGGAUUUCCCUAACUUCCACCAGACAUUGUAAGCCAAACCACCUUCCACAAAGCUCAUGUCUUGGAUUACCUUCCUACCACUUAUACACAUAUAUGAAGUUUACAACCAUUUUUAUGUAUCUGUUUUAUUAUAGCUUUCUACGUCUGUUUAUGCACCUAUAUCUCUCAUUACAUUCGAAUGUAUCGCGCCACAGGGUGUUUCUUCGCACCUUUGCAUUGACUUAACAUGUAAAUCACUCGUGCUUGACACUUCUUCCACGUUUGGUGUGAACGCAGCAUUACACAGCACAUAAGAAACCACAAUCUACCCAAUUAUAAUCAGCGAACAUGCUACAAUUUCCCUUACGCUAAACAUUCCAACAGUUAUUAUUAAUUCUUAGUGCUAAUAAUAAACACUGGCUCAUUCUGAAAACAUAUCCCUAUAUACAUUUCUGGAGAUUGCAAAAUAUGUAACCAGAUCUACGUAUGGCUGCAUUUCAUUGUUUAAAUGACCGAUACGUGGCGGUGUGAUGGCGUUCAUUUCGACCCUACCAGCUGAGCUGUUACCAGUUUGUCGGUAGCUCAACAAAUAGGCAGACUUGAGAUGCAGAAAGGAAUUGACCUCAACAAUGAGGUUCAAGUCCGGAGAGGAAGCAGAUAAAAAAAAAACCCAAAAAUAAAAUAAAGUAAAUAACAGGGUGGGAAUGUGGUAAAAUCUGAAAACGUGUAAAAUCAGGUGAAGGAUUUUUUUCUUUUUCCAGGUUGCUUUUGAAAAUUUUGAGGUUGAGUUUAGAGAAGAGGAUGGGGUCAAUUGGUCAGUCAGUAAUUCAGUCAGUUGACAGCGGGCUCUGGUGGAUGUAUGAGAAAACAGCAGGCUUGAAGGCACAUGUGAGAGAAAUUAGAGAUCUGAAAAAGCAUACACAGCGGCCUCUGGUGGAUUCACCAAAACGAAAACUGCACAAAAACAUAUCUCCUGGGACGUAAUUUCCUCUCUCCAGAAAUGUAUACAGGGGUAUGUAAUCAGAAUGAGCCUGGGUUGUUUCUAUGAGAUGAUGUUUUAUUACUUCAUGAGCCUGACUUUGACAGAUUCAUUAGGAGGGAGUGGGUCUUCUUUUGUGAAAACAAAUGACUCUCCAUCAAUCAAAGCAUUUACCGUCAUCAAAUCAGUUAUCACAAGGAAAUUAAUCUUUCUUAUCACACUGGAAAAACCUCCAAUAGCAAAUGAAAAAUGAUUUACAAUGAUGAAUCAAGCAUCGUACAAACACUUGUAUCUUUUUUUUUUUAAAUCACACUUUUCUGUUUUCUCAUUUUUAAUUUUCUACUGUUGGUUACUCUUUAUUUUGAUGGUCCAUUUGAGUAUUAGUAGACUGUGUGCUUAAUAUCUGUUGAUACUGCUUCUUCAACAGA